Molecule: ribosomal RNA, 509 nt
Filed under: unidentified archaeon
Lineage: Archaea
Description: bacterial SSU rRNA
Rfam family: Archaeal small subunit ribosomal RNA
Source: RNAcentral
GGAAAUCUGAUAGCUUAACUAUUAGGCUUUCGGGGGAUACUGCCAGACUUGGAACCGGGAGAGGUAAGAGGUACUACAGGGGUAGGAGUGAAAUCUUGUAAUCCCUGUGGGACCACCUGUGGCGAAGGCGUCUUACCAGAACGGGUUCGACGGUGAGGGACGAAAGCUGGGGGCACGAACCGGAUUAGAUACCCGGGUAGUCCCAGCCGUAAACGAUGCUCGCUAGGUGUCAGGCAUGGCGCGACCGUGUCUGGUGCCGCAGGGAAGCCGUGAAGCGAGCCACCUGGGAAGUACGGCCGCAAGGCUGAAACUUAAAGGAAUUGGCGGGGGAGCACAACAACGGGUGGAGCCUGCGGUUUAAUUGGACUCAACGCCGGACAACUCACCGGGGACGACAGCAAUAUGUAGGUCAGGCUGAAGACCUUACCUGAAUCGCUGAGAGGAGGUGCAUGGCCGUCGCCAGUUCGUACUGUGAAGCAUCCUGUUAAGUCAGGCAACGAGCGAGACCC